Molecule: transfer RNA, 76 nt
Filed under: Candidatus Nealsonbacteria bacterium CG_4_10_14_0_2_um_filter_37_10
Lineage: Bacteria; Candidatus Nealsoniibacteriota
Also listed under: 2 other names
Description: tRNA-Asp
Rfam family: tRNA
About the family: Transfer RNA (tRNA) molecules are approximately 80 nucleotides in length. Their secondary structure includes four short double-helical elements and three loops (D, anti-codon, and T loops). Further hydrogen bonds mediate the characteristic L-shaped molecular structure. tRNAs have two regions of fundamental functional importance: the anti-codon, which is responsible for specific mRNA codon recognition, and the 3' end, to which the tRNAs corresponding amino acid is attached (by aminoacyl-tRNA synthetases). tRNAs cope with the degeneracy of the genetic code in two manners: having more than one tRNA (with a specific anti-codon) for a particular amino acid; and 'wobble' base-pairing, i.e. permitting non-standard base-pairing at the 3rd anti-codon position.
Source: RNAcentral
GGGGGCGUAGCUCAAUUGGAGGAGCACAAGAUUGUCGAUCUUGGGGUUGCGGGUUCGAGCCCCGUCGUCCCCGCCA